This 245-nucleotide ribosomal RNA is filed under the name uncultured Methylosoma sp. Its description in RNAcentral is "partial 16S ribosomal RNA". It matches the Rfam family "Bacterial small subunit ribosomal RNA", at positions 524 to 768 of the family's 1533-position model. The record is from RNAcentral. Lineage: Bacteria; Pseudomonadati; Pseudomonadota; Gammaproteobacteria; Methylococcales; Methylococcaceae.
UACGUAGGGUGCGUGCGUUAAUCGGAGUUACUGGGCGUAAAGCGUGCGUAGACGGUUAUGUAAGUCGGGUGUGAAAGCCCCGGGCUCAACCUGGGAAUUGCAUUCGAGACUGUGUAGCUAGGGUGCGGAAGAGGGAAGCGGAAUUUCAGGUGUAGCGGUGAAAUGCGUAGAUAUCUGAAGGAACACCAGUGGCGGAAGCGGCUUCCUGGUCCAGCACCGACGUUCAGGCACGAAAGCGUGGGGAG